Molecule: long non-coding RNA, 3264 nt
Filed under: Marmota monax (woodchuck)
Lineage: Eukaryota; Metazoa; Chordata; Mammalia; Rodentia; Sciuridae
Source: RNAcentral
UGUUUUUGAACAUAUGAAAUAGACUCAGGCUAUUACAAUAUUCUUCUCUACUAAUCCAAAAAUCAUUGUCAGUUGUAAUUGGUUUCAAUGGAUUGAUUUUUCUCCUCUUUAUGGUUUGUAUUUUUUAACACAUCUGGUAAUUUUUUACUACACACUGGAUGUGAAUUUUUGUUUGUUGGGUGCUAAAUAUUUUUAUAUUCCUAAAAAUAUUCCUGAGCUUUGUUCUAGCGUGCUGUUAAGGUACAUACAAAGUUUAAAUCUUUUGGAUCUUGCUUUUGUCCAGUUGGAUCUGAGCAUUAUUGACUCUCUAGCUAAUUAGCCCCCACUGCUGAGGUGUUGGUCAGCUUUUCAUAAUUAUGACAAAGUAAUUGAGAUAAACAACUUAUAGGAGGUAAGGUUUAUUUUGAUUCAUGAUUUUCGAGGCAAUGGUUUGCCAGCCUUGUUGUUUUGGGUCUAUGAGGGCACCAUACAUCAUGGCAGGAUUGUGUGGUGGAUGAGGUAUAUUCAUCUCAUGAUGACUGGGAAGUAAAGGGCAGCAGAAGGGGCCAGGGUCCCUUAUUCCUUUUUAGUGCUAAUCCCCAAUGAACGCUAACGUUUUUCUGCUAGGUUCUACCUCCUGAAAGUUUCACCACCUUCCAGUAACACCACAUACUAGGAACUAAGCCAGCACAUGGGCCUUUGAAAGACACUUAUCCAAAAUGUAACAUGCAUGAGGCAAGGCUUUUCUCUGUAUCACAUCCAGUGCCCUAGAAAUUGUGACAUUUUCCAAUAUGGGUAUGGAAACAAGCAUUGCAGCAUGUUUCUAGAAGGAUACUAUUAUCAGUAGUUGCCUAUGUGGUGGGUUAUUGGGGAACAAGAAUGAAAGGCAUAUGGAACACAUUUGGGCUACUUCAAAUUAUCUCACUGGUACCACUGGUAUUACUGGUGUCUUGUGGGUUACAGGUUUUUUUUUUUUUUUUUUCAUUAGAAAUUAAUACCCAGAGUUUCUGGCUUCUUCUUCUGGGAAACAAUUUUCCAUGAGUUUCUUGCACUUCUUCAUACCUUGUAAGCAGAGGCAUUGGCUGAUUUUAUUCAAUAUUAGCUUUUUAGAGUUGUUUUGUAUGGUAUAGCGUUGGAAGAGAGAGAGAUCUUUCAGGAGCACAGCGCAGGUUUGUUUAUUGUCCAGUAUAAUAAUGUCUUUCACUAGGGAAAGUCAGACAUGAGGACUGCUUGUUCAUUAUAAGAUUAAGCUUUCUGGAGCUCAUUAUGAAUGAUUAAGAUUUCCAAAGUGUGGGGUUCCUCUCCUGUAAUACAACCAAAAUGCAUGUGCAAGCAUCACCUGGUACUCUUGAGGUGUUCUGUGAGAUUAAGGACUGAGGAACUAGUAUAGGAUUAAUAAUACUCUGGCUACUGCUAUUACUGUGUAUAGUAAACGGUCCUUUUGUCUUUGACAUAGGAGUCUUCUGUCUUCAUUCAGGAAACUGUGGCAAGCUAAUAUCCUAGCUUGAAAGCAGAGUAAAAUCUUAAACCCUUUAUAGUUGAUACCUUCAGUCUCAGAUGAAAUGCCACACGAAAGAACAUGACAUCUAGUCUCAGCAGCAACCUCUGGGUCAGAUAGUACAAUUUUGAAGCCUGGGGGAAUUAUCUCCUCUUGAGCAAGCUGUAACUUGUAGAUAAAUUUUCUUUCACCCUAUUUCCAGCCUCUCGAGAGAUGUCCCCAUAUAUAUCAGUGGCUAUGUCUCUUUGCAAAGCUGUCUUUUAACAAAUGAUUUUGUAUUUUCUCUGUUCUUCUUCUUUCUCUAUUUCUUUGUAAUCUAUUAAUCAUUAUUUUUCUUACAUCUAUCAGAACUGACAUUGCAGGGUAAUUAAGUCAACUUAAUUCUAAAGAGGGACAAACCUCUCAAAGGAGAAUGGGACACAAGAUAUUUCAUGUUUGGCAGAGCAUAAAGAGGUAUACUGCCUUAUAAGCUGUAAAGAAGAAUCUGCAAAAAUUUUACAUUCCUGUGGAUUGGGGGUUAGCAACUCAGUUUACAGUAACUGGAAGUCCCAAUCAGAAGGGAUGUUUAUACUCACUCAUAAGCAUUUUUCUGGGUCCUCAAGGGAGAAACUUGGGGGCACAGCAGUCUUUGGAGAACCCCCUGGCAGGCAUGAAUGUAUAGAAUAGCUUCUACUGAGGUAGGCGUAGGCACAAAACCAUACCUGAUUCCUUGGACCAUUCUCUGCUAUAAGCAAAAGCUUUAAGCCACUGAUGGAGGAUCAACAAACAUUUUCCCAGGACACAGAUAUUACUUUUGGAGUGGAAGCAAAACUCCUUUGCCUUGGAGUGAGGGGUGGAAACUGUCCCAUUUCUAGGACAAAGGCAAAGGAUACUUUAUUUCUGUGAAAAAGCAGAAGCAAAUACCUUCAUUUUAGGGAGAAUGGUAGAAAAUCAUUUGAUAGGACUGUUGGUGGAGCAGGAAAUUCCUGCCGAAGUCCAACCACUGAUAGGUCAGGAAAAAGGAUAGGACUGCUAAGAAAAAUCCACUUCUGAGACUAAGACACACAGAGCCUUCCUGAGUCUGGGCUAGAACAAUAAAGAUCAUGGUACAAUAACAAAUAGUCUUAACAAAUAGUCUAAACUUCAUAUUAAAAAGUCCUAGAAGAGAGAAUGGGAAAGAAUAUCUGAAGAGUUAAAUGGACAAAAAACUUUUGAGAAAUAAUGACAAAACACCAAACCACAGAUCCAACAAGCUCAAGGAACCCCAAACAGAAUAUCAGAAACAAAACCACAUACACCUAGGCACUUAAGACAACAAAAGCUGAGCUAAUUCAUUGCUAAAAGACCUGUGACAUAAAGGAGGUUUUUCAGGUAGCAGUAUGAUGCCAGAUAGAAACUUGGAUGCAUAUAAGGAAAUGACUGUUUUGUAGCAAAUUAUGCUAAAACUUGAUAGUGUAGGAAUUCACUAUCAGCUGAAUGGCUCAGGGAUGCCCCUGUAGUUGAAGUCAAGAUGUAGGUGUGGCUGUAGUCGUAUGAAAACUCAACAAGGUCCUAGUAUCCAUCUCCAGUCUCAUUCAGUUCACGUGACUGUUGGAAGAAGCCUAAGUUCUUCUCCAUUUGGAAGUCUUCACAGGGCUAUUUGCUUAUCAUUGGGCUUCUCUCAGUACAAGUGGUCUUAGAGAAAAGUGAAAGCCACAAUGUCCUUUAAUUAGAAAUCACAUGGGCUGGGAUGCAGCUCAGUGGCAAAGCAUCUGCCUUGGAUUCGCAAAGCCCUAGGUUCGACCCCCAGCUCCAAAAAAGAACCCCAC